AUUGAACGCUAGCGGGAUGCUUUACACAUGCAAGUCGAACGAGUGGCGGACGGGUGAGUAAUAUAUCGGAACGUGCCCAGUAGCGGGGGAUAACUACUCGAAAGAGGGCUAAUACCGCAUACUAUGGGAUCGGCCGAUAUCGGAUUAGCUAGUUGGUGGGGUAACGGCGCACCAAGGCAACGAUCCCUAGCUGGUUUGAGAGGAUGACCAGCCACACGGGGACUGAGACACGGCCCAGACUCCUACGGGAGGCAGCAGGGGGGAAUUUUGGACAAUGGGCGAAACCCUGAUCCAGCCAUCCCGCGUGUAGGAAGAAGGCCCUAGGGUUGUAAAGUACUUUCAGUCGGGAGGCGUUACCGACAGAAGAAGCACCGGCUAACUCCGUGCCAGCCGCCGCGGUAAUUC
RNAcentral lists this ribosomal RNA (405 nucleotides) under uncultured bacterium. RNAcentral's name for it is "partial 16S ribosomal RNA". It matches the Rfam family "Bacterial small subunit ribosomal RNA", at positions 30 to 526 of the family's 1533-position model. The record is from RNAcentral.